UUUUUUUCUCGUGAUUAUCACCCACCCUCUGUUCUCUGAUCUUCUGUGGACUCACAGUUUUAUUACAUAAGAUUUCUUUUCUAGAGUUAUCCUAGGUCCUCCUUCCUAUCUCUUCCCAAAUUUAGAUCUGCUAUUUUUUGUACCUGUUUAUUUGACUCCCACAUUUGCUUAUGUAUCUUCCUAGAACAGAGCAGGGAGUACGUAUUCUGAAUUUUGCAUUUAAAAUGUGUCUUUGUUGUACAUUAAUAUGAAAGGAUCACUCAACUAUAUGUAGAAUUCUAACUUGGAAAUACAUUUAUUCAGAAUUUUGAAGGCAUUUGUAUAUCUAUUACUGUAAAAUAUAGAUAAAACUAAAAAUAAAUCCAAGUCUAGACUUAUUUUUAUCCUUAAAGGUAAGAGGUUAGGUUUUUUCUUUUUUUUUUUUUCUUCCUCCCUAAAGCUCUUAAUGUGUUUCAUUUAUUGUUAUUCUCUUUUAAAUGUAUAUAUUUUUUACAGAACAAUUUUGGAUUUAUAGAAAAAUUAUGUGGGUAAUACAGAGUUCCCAUAUGCUUAUCCAGCACACAAUUUCCCCUAUUUUUAAUGUGGAACAUUUAUGAUAAUGAAUGAACCAAUAUUCAUUCAUUAUUAUUAACUAAAUUCCCUGGUUUACACUGAGGUCCACUUUUUGUGUUCCACAUUUCUAUGGGUUUUAAAAAAUGCAUAAUAUCAUGGAGCCACCAUUACAAUGUCAUUCAAAAGUGUUUCAUCAUCUUAGAAAUCCCCCAUGCUUCCUCUGUUCAUCCCUAUGCCAGCCCUACUUAUCCAUCCUACUCUCCCUAUUUCCCCAGGCCCAGAACUCCUGGCUCUCAUGUUUUUUACUAUCACAGUAGUUUUACCUUUUCCAGAAUGUCAUAUAGUUGAAAUCACACAGUUUGUAGUUUUUUCAGAUUGACUUCUUUACCUUAGCAGUAUACAUUUAUAGUUCUUCCAUGGCUUUGUAUGGUUUGAAGUACUGAUCUUUUAUUUUUAUUGUUGAAUAAUGUUAUAUUGUAUGGAUAUACGACAUAUUGGUACCACAUACCAAGUUAUUUAUCCAUUAACUUACUGAAGGAUGCUUGGUUGCUUCUAGCUUAUGAAAUAAAGCUGCUAUAAACAUUCAUGUGCAGGUUUUUGAAUGGACAUAACUUUCAACCCAAUUGGACAAACACUUUGGAACAUGGAUACUCAGUAGCAUUGUAAGAAUAUGGUUAGCUUUGUAAGAAACUACCAAACACUUUCAAUGUGGCUGUACCAUUUUCCAUUCCUACCAGGAAUAAAUGAGAGUCCCUACUACUCAACACUCUCUCUAGCAAUUGGUAUUUGUCAAUUUUAUGGAUUUUGGCCAUUGUAAUAGGUAUAUAUUGAUGUCUCAUUUGUUGUGUUAAUCUGAAAUUCCCUAAUGACAUAUAACAUUGAGCAUCUUUUCAUAUGCUUCAUGUUUGCAUAUCUUUUGAGAAUAGUGUCUACUCAUCUUUUUGCCCAUUUCAAAAUUGUCAUAUGUUGGCCCACUCCCCCGGGAACACAUCCACCCUGAUGCUGUCACUGCCAAACGCUCCAGGUAGUGCCCACAUGGACUUGAUCACUGUCACUUCCCAGGAUGCUGCAACUAGGAGCAGCUUAUGCAACUAGGAUGGAUGCUUCUUGCUUGGCCUACAGGUGGUGGGGGAAAACCAUUUCAGUUAUCUCUGACUCCAGAGGUGGGUGUGGCCCACCACUACUAGGAGUCUAUGAACAGGCACCACUUGCAGACCCAGUCACCUCAGAGGGCACCACAGAGGAGGGCAUUAAGACCAAACACCACCUGUUGUUGUUCUUGCUCCUCUGGGAACUUACACACCCUGCCACUGCCACUACCAAAUGCUCUUGGCAUUGCCUAAAUCUGCCUGAGGCUCAUUACCACUUCCCAGGGCCCUGCAACUUGGAGUAACCUGUGCCACCUUCUUGUGGGUCCUUGCUACUGUCAAGAGCCCAGCAACUGGGCACUGACUACUAGCCCUACUCAUUGCCUCCUUCUUCCUGGAAACACACGCAACACCCUUGGGAUAACAGCCUGCUCACAGUGAAGAGACAGCAAAUAUCCAAACUAUCAUGCCAAAAAUAAAUAGUAACCCCCCCUACAAAAUAUAAAGGGGUGCUCUUACAUAGAAAUAGCCCUCCAAGACUGUAGUUUGGUUUCCCUAAACUCACAGAAAAAGGAAAAUAUAAGAAAAAUGAAGAAGCUCAGGAACCAUUCCCAGUUAAAAGAACAGGAGAAUUAACUUGAAAGAGCAAAUAAUGAAACAAACCUCUGCAGUCUAACAGAUACUGAAUUUGGAAAGAAGAUAGUGAAAAUACUGCAGGAAUUAAGGUUGAAUAUGAAGGAAUUAAGAGUGGAUAUAAACAGUAAUGCAGAUUAGUUUAGAAAGGAACUAAAAAAUAUAAGGAGGAACCAAGAAAAAUUAGAAAAUUCAUUUGCAGAGAUACAAACUGGGCUAAAGACCCCAAAGAGCAGAAUGAAUAAUGAAGAGGAACGAAUUAGUAAGUUGGAAGAUAGAAUAAUGGACAUCAUCCAAUCAGGACAGCAGACAGAAAUCCAAAUGAAAAAUCAUGAAAACAAUAUAAGAGAUCUAUGGGAUAAUAUAAAGUGGGCCAAUCUAUGCAUAGUAGGAAUUCCAGAAGGAUAAGAAAAAGAAAAGAGGAUUGAAAAUAUAUUUGAAGAAAUUACAUCUGAAAACAUUCCAAAUCUAAAGAAAACAGAUUUCAAGAUACCGGAAGCACAGAGGGCCCCAAACAAGUUGAACCCAAACAGGCCCACACCAAGACAUACUGCAAUAAAAAUGGCAAAAGUUAAAGAGAGGAUUCUAAAGGCAGCAAGAGAAACCCAAAGUGUUAAUUAUAAGGGACCCCCCCCCAAACACACAUAACGCUAUCAGCUGAUUUCUCUACAGAUAUACUACAGGCUAGAAGAGAGUAGCAAGGUAUAUUAAAAUUUAUAAAAGGGAAAAAUUUGCAGCAUAGAAUAUUCUACCCAGCAAGGAUAUCAUUUAAAAUAGAAGGAGAAAUAAAUAAUUUUUCCAACAAACAAAAGCUAAAAGAGUACAGCAAUACUAAACCCAUUCUAAAAGAAAUACUGAAAGGGCUUCUCUAAAUAAAAAAGAGGUAAGAAGAAAUAGGAUGGAGGGAAUCACAAUUGGUAAGCAAUCAUUU
This 3204-nucleotide long non-coding RNA is filed under the name Sus scrofa (pig). RNAcentral's name for it is "lncRNA (ENSSSCG00000055866.1, ENSSSCG00110003569.1, ENSSSCG00130031935.1, ENSSSCG00180006356.1)". The record is from RNAcentral. Lineage: Eukaryota; Metazoa; Chordata; Mammalia; Artiodactyla; Suidae.